GUGCUUGUGCCAGCUUCUGCUUCAGGGCAGCAAUGGUUGCCUCUAAUUGGUGAACCUCGUCAGUGAGGCCAUGCUGUGCCUAGAGGCAGCUUUGGGCCAGGACCCUGAGGCUCUAAGAGGAGAAGCCCUGUUCUCCAUCCAAGGAGAGGACGACUUAGUUUUGCAGGGGACACAGAGAGGGAGCAUGCGUGUGAGUGGGGGCGGGGGGAGAGACAGAGAGACAAGGAUAGAAGGUCUGAAGCAGGCUCCACGCUGACACCAGAGACCAGCAUGCAGGGUUUGAACUCACCAACCAUAAGAUCAUGACCUGAGCCAAAGUCUAUUGCUUCAUCGACUGAGCCACACAGACACAUUUUGAACUCAAGCAUUAUUCUUAGAGGAAGAUCUUUUCAUAGAGACAAGCACGAGAAAAGGGCUACUGAGUAAAGGUGUUGCAAUGAUCUUUGUAAACCGUGGAUACUGUAGAAGUAACAAAAGUGAUGGAAGAUAGGAAUCCAAUCAUCUUCCUUCUACAGAUAAGACUAAAGAUUUCAGUCCCCCUUAUGAUAAAAACAUCUUAUAAAAUAUCAUAAAAAUGAUCAUGUCCUUUCCUGGCAUUGACAGAUUAACCUAGUUAAUUUUCUAGAAGCAUCUGCAAGGUAUGCAAGUCUCAGCAAUUAUGAAGAAUCUGUCAAGUGAUCAGACAACGGAAACCACAAGAACUGAAAGUUCAAGAGGCACGGCCCCCCAAAAGCAAAAUCACCUUGGACUCUUGGCCUGCCACCUCAUUUCUGCACAUGCUUAAGUGUACUGCACUGAGCACCCCUUUCUAUGAAGAAAGCUCAAGCCCCUGAACUCUAAUAUAAUUGGUUAUUUGUUCUGUCCAGUUCACGUCUCCCUAAACAAUCAUAGCAGCAGGCCGACUGAAGUGUGCUUUGAGAACCAUACCACUUUUCUAUGCCUGUCUUACAUUAGAGCCUCUGUGAUUUUUCAGAGCAUGGUCUCUGUGUCAUUGCCACACAUAGUUCCAUUUAACUGUAUGCAUUUGGCUAUAAUUACUGAUUUUUUAAAAAUUUCCUAUACCCGUGUAGUUACUGGGCAAAAUUCCCAGUAGAGUGAUUCUUUUCAACUGUCAAACUUGUCUACUGACACAUACAGUAUCACCUAUCAGCAUUUGUUAGUAAGCUAACUAGUUUUUUUUAGUGUUGGUAACAAGGUCCUUCAAGAACAAAGAGUACUGUUAGGGUUGUACAGAGUCUGGGAGGAAGACAUAAGAGCAAGAAGGGAUGUUCUGGAAGACAUAAACUGGCUUAGUGGAGAUUAUGAAGGGACGAGAUUUUUCGUUUUUGUUUUUUUUUUUUUUUAAGCUCUACGCCCAACAUGAGGCUCAAACUCAUGACCCCAAGAUUUCAUAUUUAAGCUGGACUGUUUCAAAGUAGUGAGUUAGCCCCAAGGAAGGAGCACAUUGUCAGAGGGAUCAUCUUAUUUAAUGUCCCAAGAGCCCUGUUAUCUUCUUCUAAUGGAGGAAACUGAGACUUAAAAGCAUCAAGCAACCUGUCCAGAGUGUUACACAAUCAUAGUUUUAACCCAGGACUUCAUGACUCUUAGAGUCUCAAUCGUUUUCACUGCAUCACAACGGCUCCCUUUACCUAAGCUGGGAGAACUGUAAUGAUGACCAACACAAUAGAAGUUUGGAGCAAAGCUUUUC
This is a long non-coding RNA of Panthera uncia (snow leopard), 1687 nucleotides long. RefSeq lists it as uncharacterized. The record is from RefSeq and is a predicted model, not a curated record. Lineage: Eukaryota; Metazoa; Chordata; Mammalia; Carnivora; Felidae. The transcript is spliced from 4 exons.